Molecule: ribosomal RNA, 312 nt
Filed under: uncultured bacterium
Lineage: Bacteria
Description: bacterial SSU rRNA
Rfam family: Bacterial small subunit ribosomal RNA
Source: RNAcentral
UGGAAACGAUAGCUAAUACCGCAUAAUAUCUUUGAUUGCAUGAUUGAAGUUUGAAAGAUGCAACUGCAUCACUACCAGAUGGACCUGCGUUGUAUUAGCUAGUAGGUGAGGUAAAGGCUCACCUAGGCGACGAUACAUAGCCGACCUGAGAGGGUGAACGGCCACACUGGGACUGAGACACGGCCCAGACUCCUACGGGAGGCAGCAGUAGGGAACCUUCGGCAAUGGGGGCAACCCUGACCGAGCAACGCCGCGUGAGUGAAGAAGGUUUUCGGAUCGUAAAGCUCUGUUGUAAGAGAAGAACGUGUGUGA